This 457-nucleotide ribosomal RNA is filed under the name uncultured bacterium. Its description in RNAcentral is "SSU rRNA". It matches the Rfam family "Bacterial small subunit ribosomal RNA", at positions 26 to 518 of the family's 1533-position model. The record is from RNAcentral.
AGAACGAACGCUGGCGGCAUGCCUAACACAUGCAAGUCGAACGCUUUUGGGGCUUCGGUCCCAAAGGAGUGGCGCACGGGUGAGUAGCGCGUGGGAACCUGCCCUGGAGUGGGGGAUAACCGAGGGAAACUUCGGCUAAUACCGCAUACGCCGGGAAACCGGGAAAGAUUUAUCGCUCUAGGAGGGGCCCGCGUCGGAUUAGGUAGUUGGUGGGGUAACGGCCUACCAAGCCUGUGAUCCGUAGCUGGUCUGAGAGGAUGAUCAGCCACACUGGGACUGAGACACGGCCCAGACUCCUACGGGAGGCAGCAGUGGGGAAUAUUGGACAAUGGGCGCAAGCCUGAUCCAGCAAUGCCGCGUGAGUGAUGAAGGCCUUCGGGUUGUAAAGCUCUUUCGCACGCGAGGAUGAUGACGCUAGCGUGAGAAGAAGCCCGGCUAACUUCGUGCCAGCAGCCGC